Osmerus eperlanus (European smelt) is the source of this 951-nucleotide long non-coding RNA. RefSeq lists it as uncharacterized. Lineage: Eukaryota; Metazoa; Chordata; Actinopteri; Osmeriformes; Osmeridae. The record is from RefSeq and is a predicted model, not a curated record. The transcript has 5 exons.
CUGACCUGUAAUGUAGAGAAGCCUUUGGCACAACUCCAUACAGUACUCUGUGUGUUCAGGGAUUCAUUCUUUUGGUUGUAUUUUACAGGGAAAAAUCACUCCAAAAGGUAGGAAAAUAAAAUGUGCAUGGGGCCUGUGAGCAGUCGAAGCCAUGUGGAGCCUGGGAAUCCUGGGAUCUACAGUCUGAUCACCGCAGUCCCAUCUGUGGCUGUGCCCUCAGGCUCCUCGGGAGAGAAUGCAAGGACCUCGGACAACGAUGAAUCUGACACGUACCAUGUGUACUGCUCCAUCACUGAGAGAGACGUCACUGAGAGAGCCAUCACAGCUGCCCAGGCUGACACGUUCUACAGUCUUCAGCAGCCACACUGAAACCACAGUUCUGUCAGCACCUUCAUCUGGUUUUCAUGUUUGAGAAUAAUUGAACAAAACAUUUGUAACGAUUGCAGUGCAGACUUUAAAAUGUAGCCUUGCCUUUUCCUCAAACCUUAUAGAUUCUUAUGAACAAGAUACUUAGCUACCGAUAGCCUUUGUUGUAGAUAUUUUUACGUUUGAAGAAUAGAGAUUUGAUUGUGGGUGCCACCGUGGCUCAUGUGAGCUGAGACCUUGAUGCAACGGCCUCGGUUCGAAUCCAGCUCCGGUCAUUUCUGCAUGUUUAUCUCAACUGUCUGUUUAAUAAAGGCCAACAAUAUAUCUUUAACAAUUCUGCAUAUUUUAUUGUACAUGUGGUUUUACAGGCAGGCAUAGAGACUGCCUCUGAAACGACAACUCCUGACCAUUUCAAUGCUAGUGAGGAGACAGCAGAACCUCCUGAGGGUGCAGGUGGGGACCAGAAACCAUCACCCUCCCCUGACUUGGAGCCCCUGGGAGAGGACCAGGUCCAACAUGUCCAGGGUCCCAGCUGUCUCUCAGGAGAAUGACUGUAAACAAAUAAAAUAUAUAAAAAAUAGGAAA